This 103-nucleotide transfer RNA is filed under the name Rhodocyclaceae bacterium. RNAcentral describes it as "tRNA-Met". It matches the Rfam family "tRNA". Rfam says of the family: Transfer RNA (tRNA) molecules are approximately 80 nucleotides in length. Their secondary structure includes four short double-helical elements and three loops (D, anti-codon, and T loops). Further hydrogen bonds mediate the characteristic L-shaped molecular structure. tRNAs have two regions of fundamental functional importance: the anti-codon, which is responsible for specific mRNA codon recognition, and the 3' end, to which the tRNAs corresponding amino acid is attached (by aminoacyl-tRNA synthetases). tRNAs cope with the degeneracy of the genetic code in two manners: having more than one tRNA (with a specific anti-codon) for a particular amino acid; and 'wobble' base-pairing, i.e. permitting non-standard base-pairing at the 3rd anti-codon position. Lineage: Bacteria; Pseudomonadati; Pseudomonadota; Betaproteobacteria; Rhodocyclales; Rhodocyclaceae. The record is from RNAcentral.
GCGCCCAUAGCUCAACGGUUAGAGCAGCGGACUCAUAAUCCGNNGGUGGAGCAGGGGACUCAUAAUCCCUUGGUUGCAGGUUCGAAUCCUGCUGGGCGCAUCA